GACGAACGCUGGCGGCGUGCUUAACACAUGCAAGUCGAACGGAAAGGCCCUGCUUUUGUGGGGUGCUCGAGUGGCGUACGGGUGAGUAACACGUGAGUAACCUGCCCUUGACUUUGGGAUAACUUCAGGAAACUGGGGCUAAUACCGGAUAGGAGCUCCUGCUGCAUGGUGGGGGUUGGAAAGUUUCGGCGGUUGGGGAUGGACUCGCGGCUUAUCAGCUUGUUGGUGGGGUAGUGGUUUACCAAGGCUUUGACGGGUAGCCGGCCUGAGAGGGUGACCGGCGACAUUGGGACUGAGAUACGGACCAGAAUCCAACGGGCGGCAGCAGUGGGAAAUAUUGCACAAUGGGCGGAAGCCUGAUGCAGCAACGCCGCGAGCGGGAUGACGGCCUUCGGGUUGUAAACCGCUUUCGCCUGUGACGAAGCGUGAGUGACGGUAAUGGGUAAAGAAGCACCGGCUAACUACGUG
RNAcentral lists this ribosomal RNA (468 nucleotides) under uncultured bacterium. RNAcentral's name for it is "partial 16S ribosomal RNA". It matches the Rfam family "Bacterial small subunit ribosomal RNA", at positions 28 to 507 of the family's 1533-position model. The record is from RNAcentral.